This 486-nucleotide ribosomal RNA is filed under the name uncultured Desulfobulbus sp. RNAcentral's name for it is "bacterial SSU rRNA". It matches the Rfam family "Bacterial small subunit ribosomal RNA", at positions 902 to 1382 of the family's 1533-position model. Lineage: Bacteria; Pseudomonadati; Thermodesulfobacteriota; Desulfobulbia; Desulfobulbales; Desulfobulbaceae. The record is from RNAcentral.
CAAAGGAAGUUGACGGGGCCCGGCACAAGCGGUGGAGUAUGUGGUUUAAUUCGAUGCAACACGAAGAACCUUACCUGGUCUUGACAUCCCGGAGACCCUUAGGAAACUAGGGGUGCUUCCAUCUGGAAGAAUCUGGAGACAGGUGCUGCAUGGCUGUCGUCAGCUCGUGUCGUGAGAUGUUGGGUUAAGUCCCGCAACGAGCGCAACCCUUGCCUUUAGUUGCCAGCAGUUCGGCUGGGCACUCUAAAGGGACUGCCGGUGUUAAACCGGAGGAAGGUGGGGAUGACGUCAAGUCCUCAUGGCCUUUAUGACCAGGGCUACACACGUACUACAAUGGCCGAUACAAAGGGCAGCGACACUGCGAGGUGAAGCCAAUCCCGUAAAAUCGGUCUCAGUCCGGAUUGGAGUCUGCAACUCGACUCCAUGAAGUUGGAAUCGCUAGUAAUCGUGGAUCAGCAUGCCACGGUGAAUACGUUCCCGGGCCUU